RNAcentral lists this ribosomal RNA (439 nucleotides) under uncultured bacterium. RNAcentral's name for it is "partial 16S ribosomal RNA". It matches the Rfam family "Bacterial small subunit ribosomal RNA", at positions 338 to 795 of the family's 1533-position model. The record is from RNAcentral.
CCUACGGGUGGCAGCAGUGGGGGAUAUUGCACAAUGGGGGGAACCCUGAUGCAGCGACGCCGCGUGUGGGAAGACGGUCCUCUGGAUUGUAAACCACUGUCCCCAGGGACGAAAGUGACGGUACCUGGGGAGGAAGCUCCGGCUAACUACGUGCCAGCAGCCGCGGUAAUACGUGGGGAGCGGGCGUUGUCCGGAAUUACGGGUGUAAAGGGAGCGUAGGCGGGGAUGCAAGUUGGGGGUAAAAACUACCGGCUCAACUGGUAGUCGCACUUAAAACUGCAGCUCUUGAGUGAAGUAGAGGCAGGCGGAAUUCGUGGUGUAGCGGUGAAAUGCGUAGAUAUCAGGAAGAACACCAGUGGCGAAGGCGGCCUGCUGGGCUUUUACUGACGCUGAGGCUCGAAAGUGUGGGGAGCAAACAGGAUUAGAUACCCGAGUAGUC